Non-coding RNA from Rattus norvegicus (Norway rat), 5011 nucleotides. The record is from RefSeq and is a predicted model, not a curated record. Lineage: Eukaryota; Metazoa; Chordata; Mammalia; Rodentia; Muridae.
GAAGCCAGCAGGACUGCACACACACUUCCGCUAAGCCUGUUUCCCUAAGUCCCCCCAUGCCACUCAAGCGCGUAACUCAGAAGAGAGGCUUCCUUUGCUCCCUACCGAAUCACGUUUUCUUGGGUGGAUGUUAAGACAACGGGCAAAAACGAGCUAAAGUUUGGCAGUCUCCAGCCGUAUGUGGGAAUGCCACACGUGACCUCUGGGUCAUGUUCCAUGGUCAUUUAUUCUACUUCUGGAGGGAGCUAUUAGGAAAUCAAACCCCAGGAAGAUUUGGGACAAGCAUGGCCCUGGGACCCAUGUGCCAGGAAGCUGAUAAGGAUGUUCAGGAUUCUCUCCGUCAGAGCCUACGAGAAGUUCAAACCUCACACACCCCCUGUUCAUGUGCUAGGACCAUCCUCUACCUGUGAGAGCAUCCUGGUUUGACCCCUUCCCCAAGGAAACACUGAUGCUAGACGCUCCCCAUCAGCAGGAUCAGGCUGUGCUGGAGUUCAUCCUGAGAUUGGAUUUUAAUCAUCUCCUUUAUCUUUGGAGCUCCUGACUGCCUCCAGAAUGAUUGAUCUCCUUCCCCAUCAUCUGCCACAGUUCCAGACACCAUGCUUGGCGUCACUGAGAAUGAGCUAAGUCGCUCAGAAGAAUGUCAUUUUGCUCUGGGCAGAGGUUGUUUUAUUGUCUAUUCAGGUAAGAUGCAUAUACAGUGGAGAUGGCUGGGAAAGGCUCAGGGCACAGGUUUUGUCAGCAGAGACCAAACAGGUACUGUGGGUUUAAGGAAUUCACCCAGAGUUGGUCACUCUUUCUAGUGACCGCUUAUCUUUACACUACAGGUGUGCCACACCUGAUCCCUUUCUGUCUGGACUCUUCCCAGAAACAAAACACUGCCAAAUGCUUUCCUCUCAUUGCCUUUUUUUUUCUUGUUUCUUCACUAUCAAAGGGCUAAAAACAAACACCUAAGACCAGGAACACUCAUACCUGCCACUCCUGGUAACUCCCCUGCUCCACACUCCACACCUGCCUUUUCUGUAACUGCCCCUGCCCUGAUCGGCUAGAAUAUUCUAAAUCUACAGACUGCAUUUUGUCUUGUUAACUAGUCUUUCAGAACGAUCCCUAGCCUGUAGUAUUUGGAUUUCGAUGGCCAUGAAGUACCCAGAUCUCAUUAGUAGUCACCAAGGAUUCAACACCUUCAGGUCAGCAUUUGAGUAAAACUUAAAGCCAUGUUUCCCUAGCUUGGGAACACCCCCAAAGACACCUCUGUAGAAUCUGGUUUGAGAAACAACACAUUGAAAGUUAAAUGUUGCUCAUGGAGACAGUACUGCAAUGUCGACAGAACCUUAAACCCUGACAGAAAUGUGGCCCCUGAUAUAUCCUUAAAACGUAUUGUCCAAAUAACUCGUAACAUGAACAUAAAAGCAGCUUGCAUAAAGGAAAAACAUUAAAGGCAGGUCAUCAUGAAUUCCAGAGAAUGGAGCCAUAAAGCUGCACGAUCAUCUUGUACAUUCCAAGAAUCUGAGGUGACCAAGCACCUACAGACUUUUCCUUGUGAACGCUCAGCCUUUUACUAAAGUCUGUUUUCUGGUGUCUCUGUGACCCCCGAAUGACAGAACUCAAAUGUCUCUGACAUGUCAGAUUUUUAAGUUAAGCAUAGGAAAAGAUUUGCUCAUGUCUUCACUGAGACAUCCAGGGGGUACUCACAGCUGUGACCUACAGUUACCCAUGGCCCUAUAUUCCCCAGGGAUUCAUGGGCUGUGACCUAUACUGUGACCUGAGCUCCUACACUUCAAGGGAUCCAGUGGCCAUUGUUCUCUUGAAAGUCUGAAUAGUUUUCACCAGGUGCUGAGCAUUUCCGUUUUGCCCCUCCCCUUAAAAUAUACAAUUAUGGAGACACAUCCCCAUUUACUGCCAGGUGGCUAAGUGACACAAGCCAGGCUGGGAGAAACUGUAGUGAAAACUGGUUCCAUGUGACCAUGGUGCACUGAUAGGAAACUGAAGAUUCGAGGAAGACUCCUCGGGGAAAAAGAAGUGUGAGUCGGGUUAUUAGAGGCUGCCUCUGUGUGAUCCAGUGGCCAAAAUCUGGAGCUGGAUUUUUAAAAAAUAGACUUUAUUCCAAAGAGAGAAAGCAAGGGAGAGACUUGAGAGCUCACUGGCUCUCUAGAAAGUGCAGGAAAAAGCAAUGUAUUGAUAAGAAGCAGAACCCUGCUUCAGAGACUCAGACUCCUGAUCAGAGGAACACCAGUGAUGCGAGAGGUGGGAGUCCUACCCCCAGGACACACUCAUAUACCCCCCCAAAACCUCAAAUCCAGUUGUGAGUCUUGGUGAGGUAGUGACCCCUCGGACAGGCAGUGUUUUCAAUCUGUAAGAUUCAGGGUGCAGUGGCCAGGUGUCACAUUCAGAGAGGAGUUGUGUAAUACAGAACACAAACUGACUGAAGGAUAAAGUCACAUGAUUAGCUCUCAACAGAUGCCAAAACAGUUUUGACAAAGUUUAACAUCCCUUCAUGAUAAGAGAAUAGAAGAAGCAUACUUCGACAUGGUGCGCACACACACACACACACACACACACACACACACACUCACACACACUCACAUAUACACACUCAUACACACACUCACACACACUCACACAUACACACUCACACUCACACACACACACACACUCACACAAAUACAUAUAACAAUCACUGGGCAUCAGCCCACCCUUCUGGACAGAUUUCUACAGAUCGAUGAAAAUGUACUGUCUUGUAGUGAUGCUAUAUAGACAAAUAGGCGAUUUCUUAAUGCUUAAUGAUUAUCCUAUAAGAAUUCCGAAAAUUAUACUAGCAAUUAUUAAGCCCUUUAUAAUAGGACAGCUAUUAAAGCCCUCUCUGACAGGGAAACUGCUUCUGAGAUAAAAUGCAGGCAUUUAUAACUCAGAACACAUUCCAAGAGGUUGUAAAACAAUUAUCCAAAGUUCAUAAAAGGGAACUGACAAUUUAUCGUAGGUGCAAGGAUAGAAAAUAAAAUAUCAACUGUGUUUAUCUUUAGAAAACCUUGAUGUUAACUUAGUCACAGGACUAUGGUGUUAGACUCUCUGUGACUGUGGGGCUAGUGACAGAUAAUGAAUGUCUAGUUAGAUGACUAUUCUUAACGGAAACACAUGCAAACAUCUUUAUUGACAACUUCUUAUUCAAUUAUGACUGGAAUUUACAUUUGAACUUUUUGCGAACUUUUGUAAAGAAAAGGGGGGGUUGCUGCUAGGGAAAAACCAUGCAAUCUAUGUCCCUAGAAAAGGUGCAAAAAGUUAGGAAUGAUGACAUUGCAGGAAUUGCAUUGCAGCAGAAGGAGGGGGGGGACUGGGAGGAGAAAGAAGGAAAAGGACAGAAGAUUAGAGUAACUUAGAAAUUAAAGAGAGCAUACAGCCUGAUAGGCUUCCCCCUCUUUCAUUUUGCCUUGGAAAUAGAGAUUAGAAUCCUUUUAAAAAAUGUCCCCUGACACUUUUACUGAUGCUAUGGUAUGCUUAGAGAUGGGAGCCAGCAUGGCUGCCCUCCGAGAGGCCCAGCAAGCCCUGACAUAGAGAUGUUACUUACAUCCAACGAUGGACUGAAGACAGAGACCCCCAGUGGUUGAAUUAAGGAAAAGCCAGAAAAAGCUGAAGGGGAGGGCAACCCCAUAGGAAGACCGGCAGUCUCAACUAACCUAGACCACGAAGUCUCUCAGAUACUGAGCCACCAAGCAAGCGGCAUACACUAGCUGAUAUGAGGCCCCAGACACAUACACAGCAGAGGACUCCUCGGUCUGGGUUCAGUGAGAGGAGACUCUCCUAAUCCUGGAGAGACUUGAGGCCCCAGGGGGUGGGAGGUCUGGUAGGGUGGGCUGGGGUGGGGUGGGGAGGUUAGGGACAUCCUAUGGGAGACUGGGCUAUGGGGUGUCUUGUGGAUGGGAUGAGGAACUGUCAGAGGGCAGACUGCGAGGGGGAUAACAACUGGACUGUAAAAAAAAGAUUAAAGAUAAUUUUAUUUAUUUAUUUAUUUUCCGGAGCUGGGGACCAACCCAGGGCCUUGUGCUCGCUAGGCAAGCGCUCUACCGCUGAGCUAAAUCCCCAACCCCUAAAGAUAAUUUUAAAAAACGUCUCCAUUCACAGCCCCCUCCUUCUUGUGAGAGAGCAACUUUCCUUAGCUGACAAGGAGGUAAAUAAAUUCUCAGCCUUAGGAAGGACCUCUUUACUUAAUGUCCCCCCAGCCAUCCCAGCCAGCUCUUAAGCACCAGGUGUUAAUUUGACCAGAGAACCACAGCUUCUGGCUUCAGAGUAACUUAGAAUCAAGAAGAUAGGUAAACAUUAUUAUUCAUAAAAAAAAGGAAGCCCUAAUUUCUCACAGGACCAAGUUUUGCCCCUGCCGUGCUCUUUCCUCUAGCUUUAAGAGAGAAUCAGAUCCCAGCAGCUGGCCUCCAAAAAAUGCUUUACCAAAAAUCUCCUAAAAACCAAUAAGCACUUCUAAUGAGUUAUUGGGCUAAGGAAACGAACAUUUUAAAAAAUAAGACUUUUUUUUUUUUUUUAGAAGGGGGAACAAAAAUAUUCAUUGGGAGGAAACACGGAGACAAAGUUUGGAGCAGAGACUGAAGGAACGACCAUUCAGAGACUGCCCUACUGGGGAUCCAGCCCAUAUACAGCCACCAAACCCAGACAAUAUUGCAGAUGCCAAGAAGUGCAUGCUGACAGGAGCCUGAUACAGCUGUCUCCUGAGAGACUCAGCUAAAGCAUGACAAAUACAGAGACAGAUGCUCGAAGCCAAUCAUUGAAGUCUCCACUGGAAGAGUUAGAGAAAGGAAUUGAAGGGGUUUUCAACCCCAUAAAAACAACAAUACCAACCAACCAGAGAUCCCAGGCACUAAACUGCCAUCCAAAGAGUACACAUGGACAGAUGCAUGGCUCCAGCUGCAUCUGUAGCAGAGGAUGACCUUGUUGGGCACCAAUAGGAGGAGAAGCCCUUGGUCCUGCCAAGGCUGAACUCCCCCAGUGUAAGGGAAUGUCAGGGCAGGGA